This 386-nucleotide small RNA is filed under the name Pongo abelii (Sumatran orangutan). RNAcentral's name for it is "processed transcript". Lineage: Eukaryota; Metazoa; Chordata; Mammalia; Primates; Hominidae. The record is from RNAcentral.
CAUUAAAAGGAAAGAUCAAGGAGUAAACCAAAAGAAGAAGAAAAAGAGGACUUCAAAGCUGGGAAGGAUGAGUUCUUGCAGCAACGUCUGUGGGUCCAGGCAGGCACAGGCUGCAGCUGAGGGCGGGUACCAGCGCUAUGGAGUCCGGUCCUACCUGCACCAGUUUUAUGAGGACUGUACAGCCUCAAUCUGGGAGUAUGAGGAUGAUUUCCAGAUCCAAAGAUCACCUAACAGGUGGAGCUCAGUAUUCUGGAAGCACAGAAUCUAAUUCACAGGAGAAGCUCAAUGAAUGUUUGCUGAAUUGAGGUGUUUGAGUUGAAGAAACUGCAAUAAUUGUUCUCAGUAAACAGACCUCCUUGUGACCUGCACCAAUCCAUAUGAUACUG